RNAcentral lists this transfer RNA (69 nucleotides) under Rattus norvegicus (Norway rat). It matches the Rfam family "tRNA". Rfam says of the family: Transfer RNA (tRNA) molecules are approximately 80 nucleotides in length. The record is from Rfam by way of RNAcentral. Lineage: Eukaryota; Metazoa; Chordata; Mammalia; Rodentia; Muridae.
GGGGACUUAGCUCAGUGGUAGAGCGCUUGCCUAGCAAGCGCGAGGCCCUGGGUUCGGUCCCCAGCUCCA